UACGGAGGGUGCAAGCGUUAUCCGGAUUCACUGGGUUUAAAGGGUGCGUAGGCGGGCAGAUAAGUCAGUGGUGAAAUAUCCGAGCUUAACUCGGAAACUGUCGUUGAUACUAUUUGUCUUGAAUACUGUGGAGGUAAGCGGAAUAUGUCAUGUAGCGGUGAAAUGCUUAGAUAUGACAUAUAACACCAAUUGCGAAGGCAGCUUACUACACAGCGAUUGACGCUGGGGCACGAAAGCGUGGGGAUCAAACAGG
This 253-nucleotide ribosomal RNA is filed under the name uncultured bacterium. RNAcentral's name for it is "partial 16S ribosomal RNA". It matches the Rfam family "Bacterial small subunit ribosomal RNA", at positions 524 to 776 of the family's 1533-position model. The record is from RNAcentral.